Molecule: long non-coding RNA, 621 nt
Filed under: Felis catus (domestic cat)
Lineage: Eukaryota; Metazoa; Chordata; Mammalia; Carnivora; Felidae
Description: lncRNA (ENSFCAG00000048651.1)
Source: RNAcentral
GUCCGACUCCCCGCACCACCACGUGCUAGCUGUGUGCCCUCGGCCAGGUCACCGAACCUCUCUGUGCCUCUGUUUCUCAUCUGUGAAAUUCGAUUGCUAGUCCAUAGUACCUGCCAUAUGCCGUUGGUGGGAAGCCAUGCCACGACAGCAGUGAAGUGCUCGGGACAGUGCGCAGAGGGGACCCCGUGAGCACGCUUGCCAGCAGCAGCAAUUUUCCUCUUGACCAGAUGGAGCUCCCGGGUGGUGAGAUGAGCCAUCCACAGUGAGCUCAGUCUUCUUGUUGCCGGACAAGUCAGGGGGACGGAAGUGAGACAGAGGCAUCCAGGACUUCCCACGGGUCGAGCACCUUGCUACUGUAUUCUUUCACUCUCUUUGUUAAAAGACUGUCUCUCUAACAUCUUCGCUGGAUCAUUUUAUAAGGAUCAAAUUCAUCUCGAAACCACUGCCGUUACUUUAAUGACACCUUUCUGGAGACCCCAGCAGAGCACAGACCUUGCGCAUAAGGAAGUAGCCGAGCCGAGACUGAUGGUUCCAGACAGCACAGUGAACCAGCUGGGGAACGAAUGGGGGAUCCAAGCGCUUCCCCAGGCGCUUCCCCACCCGAACCUAGGAACUCAGGAU